Molecule: long non-coding RNA, 510 nt
Filed under: Homo sapiens (human)
Lineage: Eukaryota; Metazoa; Chordata; Mammalia; Primates; Hominidae
Description: HSALNT0290677
Source: RNAcentral
GUCUCUGCCCUCCUAGUGCUUGGCAUAGUAAAUAUUUACAUCAGUUGAAAGCCAGUGCCCUAAGGAAGGUUGUGGGGGGAAGGGAAGAGCCAUCCAAAAUUAUCUUCUCUGUGUGUGCAGGAAAGUCCAAGAGUUCGUGAAGAUGUUUAACUACCGGAAGGUCCGCUCGCCGUUGGUGGAGUGCAGACAGGCACAGCGCAUGGGAAAACCGGCAGGAUCUACCGAAGCUGAUCAUCCUACCUGUACCCUGGGACCCGUUUCUCUCCAGCAGAAUGUGCACAUCAGCCCUGUUUAUAAUGGCUUCAAAACUGCCUCCAUCUACGGCAGGCUGGAUAAUACAUUGUGUGUGUUCACAACACAGAAACCACCACAGACAGCAAGGAGAAUGGAUGAUCCACAGCUCCUCACAACAACAUGAAUGAAUCGCACAAGGUGAGAAAAUGGAGGUCCACUUGGCCAUGGUGAAGAGGUCACAUCGAUGGCAGAUGGAGUUUCACUCUUGUCGCCAAG